RNAcentral lists this transfer RNA (91 nucleotides) under Ruminococcus sp. RNAcentral describes it as "tRNA-Ser". It matches the Rfam family "tRNA". From Rfam's summary of the family: Transfer RNA (tRNA) molecules are approximately 80 nucleotides in length. Their secondary structure includes four short double-helical elements and three loops (D, anti-codon, and T loops). The record is from RNAcentral. Lineage: Bacteria; Bacillati; Bacillota; Clostridia; Eubacteriales; Oscillospiraceae.
GGAGAUGUAUCGAAGUGGUCAUAACGAGAACGACUCGAAAUCGUUUGGGCGGUAACACGCUCCGUGGGUUCGAAUCCCACCAUCUCCGCCA